RNAcentral lists this ribosomal RNA (118 nucleotides) under Gossypium arboreum. Lineage: Eukaryota; Viridiplantae; Streptophyta; Magnoliopsida; Malvales; Malvaceae. The record is from RNAcentral.
GAGUUAGAUUAUACCAGCACUAAUGCACCGGAUCCCAUCAAAACUCUGCAGUUAAACGUGCUUGGGUGAGAGUUGUACUAGGAUGGUGAUCUCUUGGGAAGUCCUCGUGUUACACCCC